Long non-coding RNA from Xenopus laevis (African clawed frog), 869 nucleotides. RefSeq lists it as uncharacterized. The record is from RefSeq and is a predicted model, not a curated record. The transcript is spliced from 3 exons. Lineage: Eukaryota; Metazoa; Chordata; Amphibia; Anura; Pipidae.
UGGUGAGGGGACUGAGCCAGCCACAUCUCUGCAUUGUUGCAGCAGCAUCAGGGGAUGAGUCUCUAUUGAGAAGGGAAGGAGGCGCAGGCUUUCCCAUGGCCGGCACGAUUAGACGCGUAGAGUCGAUUGAAGCUGCAGCAGCAGAGGACCACUGAUCAGGGAUAACGACUGACAGGAUGGACUGAAUAAUCAGGGCAAGUCAUUGUGUGAAGUCUCUUGGUAGCAGAUGGUGAUCCUAUUGACUUUCCAAUCAAAACUGGACAACAGCACUUCUUAAUGAUGCCGGCUUCCAACUGGCAUUUAGACAACGCGAGAGUGCGAAUGUCAAGAGGAAGAGUUUGCUUAAAGAUACAGAUGAUUUAAGUCAUUGAUGUGUGCCAAAGUCAUUGUUUAGAAAUACAAGGAACAUUCCCUUAAAAGUAUGUGCAGUUUUCUUGCAGAAAUGUAAUUUCUAAAAUUAUAACUACAUUAUUACAAGCACCCUUCUCUGCAAUGUUUGUAGGGACAAAACUUCAAGAAAUGUUACAGGUGGUUUCCUAAUAAUUAUAAUACAAAACUGUUUGCAAGUUCCUGACAAAGGGGCGAUUUUACUAAAGUGUGAAAUUGAGCUUUCCUGAGGGAAAUUCCACUGCUAUCUAUUCAUUUGUAUGGGAUUUUCUAUUCAUUUGUAUGGGAUUUUCAAAGGCAUAUUUAACAAAAAAGUAUCAAAGAGUUGGCCCUUUUAUAAAUUUGUUCCUAGAAAAGUGACUAGCUGGCAGCAGGAUUUCUCAGUGGCAAGCUCUAUUUCAACUUUUAAAGGAGAACUAAACCCUAAAAAUGAAAAUGGCUAUAAAUGCCAUAUUUGAUAUACAGAACUUAUUGCACCAGCC